GAUGAACGCUGGCGGCGUGCUUAACACAUGCAAGUCGAACGGAAAGGCUCCUGCUUGCAGGGGUACUCGAGUGGCGAACGGGUGAGUAACACGUGGGUGAUCUGCCCUGCACUUCGGGAUAAGCCUGGGAAACUGGGUCUAAUACCGGAUAGGACCACAUUUUGGAUGGUGUGGUGGAAAGUUUUUCGGUGUGGGAUGAGCUCGCGGCCUAUCAGCUUGUUGGUGGGGUAAUGGCCUACCAAGGCGUCGACGGGUAGCCGGCCUGAGAGGGUGUACGGCCACAUUGGGACUGAGAUACGGCCCAGACGCCUACGGGAGGCAGCAGUGGGGAAUAUUGCACAAUGGGCGCAAGCCUGAUGCAGCGACGCCGCGUGGGGGAUGACGGCCUUCGGGUUGUAAACUCCUUUCGCUAGGGACGAAGCGCAAGUGACGGUACCUGGAGAAGAAGCACCGGCUAACUACGUG
Molecule: ribosomal RNA, 465 nt
Filed under: uncultured bacterium
Lineage: Bacteria
Description: partial 16S ribosomal RNA
Rfam family: Bacterial small subunit ribosomal RNA
Source: RNAcentral